This 351-nucleotide transfer-messenger RNA is filed under the name Clostridia bacterium. It matches the Rfam family "transfer-messenger RNA". From Rfam's summary of the family: Bacterial tmRNA, also known as 10Sa RNA or SsrA, is named for its dual tRNA and mRNA-like properties. Its role is to liberate the mRNA from a stalled ribosome. To accomplish this part of the tmRNA is used as a reading frame that ends in a translation stop signal. Lineage: Bacteria; Bacillati; Bacillota; Clostridia. The record is from RNAcentral. RNAcentral also lists the same sequence under 3 other names.
GGGGAUGUAAAGGCUUCGACGGGGUCGCGGAGACUCAGGGAGCGAGCCGCAGAGGGUUCUGCGCAUCAAACCCAAACUUUUAAAAUUAAACGCUAACAAUCAAGUAGCAUACGCUGCCUAAUUAACGCAGCUGCUCUGCUGUGACUACCGCACUCACAGAUUAGGGUAUCAUCAAACGCGGUGAACGUGAGCGAAAAAAGCUUUGAUUUCGCCAUGAAUUUAUGAAGCUACCGAUUUCACGGGGAUGUUUGUGAACCUGUGACAAUCGGGAAUAUUAAUCACAAACUACGCUCGUAGCGCCCUGUGGGGACGCUUCUUCGGACGGGGGUUCAAUUCCCCCCAUCUCCACCA